This 273-nucleotide ribosomal RNA is filed under the name Salmonella enterica subsp. enterica serovar Muenchen. Its description in RNAcentral is "partial 16S ribosomal RNA". It matches the Rfam family "Bacterial small subunit ribosomal RNA", at positions 1 to 270 of the family's 1533-position model. The record is from RNAcentral. Lineage: Bacteria; Pseudomonadati; Pseudomonadota; Gammaproteobacteria; Enterobacterales; Enterobacteriaceae. RNAcentral also lists the same sequence under 1 other name.
AAAUUGAAGAGUUUGAUCAUGGCUCAGAUUGAACGCUGGCGGCAGGCCUAACACAUGCAAGUCGAACGGUAACAGGAAGCAGCUUGCUGCUUCGCUGACGAGUGGCGGACGGGUGAGUAAUGUCUGGGAAACUGCCUGAUGGAGGGGGAUAACUACUGGAAACGGUGGCUAAUACCGCAUAACGUCGCAAGACCAAAGAGGGGGACCUUCGGGCCUCUUGCCAUCAGAUGUGCCCAGAUGGGAUUAGCUAGUUGGUGAGGUAACGGCUCACCA